Molecule: ribosomal RNA, 194 nt
Filed under: uncultured Acinetobacter sp.
Lineage: Bacteria; Pseudomonadati; Pseudomonadota; Gammaproteobacteria; Moraxellales; Moraxellaceae
Description: partial 16S ribosomal RNA
Rfam family: Bacterial small subunit ribosomal RNA
Source: RNAcentral
UCCUACGGGAGGCAGCAGUGGGGAAUAUUGGACAAUGGGCGAAAGCCUGAUCCAGCCAUGCCGCGUGUGUGAAGAAGGCCUUUUGGUUGUAAAGCACUUUAAGCGAGGAGGAGGCUACUGAGAUUAAUACUCUAGGAUAGUGGACGUUACUCGCAGAAUAAGCACCGGCUAACUCUGUGCCAGCAGCCGCGGUA